UGAGUGCGAGCUGCUACGGCAGCGAAGUUGGUGACGUCAAGCUUCCAAGAAAAGCCCUAUACCCGUUAAGGCAUCAUGGCCUGUACCCGAAACCGACACAGGUGGGGUGGUAGAGAAUACCGAGGGGCGCGAGGUAACUCUCUCUAAGGAACUCGGCAAAAUGGCCCCGUAACUUCGGGAGAAGGGGUGCCACCGCAAGGUGGUCGCAGUGAAGAGGCCCAGGCGACUGUUUACCAAAAACACAGGACUCCGCUAAGUCGCAAGACGAUGUAUGGGGGCUGACGCCUGCCCAGUGCCGGAAGGUUAAGGAAGCUGGUCAGCGCAAGCGAAGCUGGCGACUGAAGCCCCGGUGAACGGCGGCCGUAACAAUAACGGUCCUAAGGUAGCGAAAUUCCUUGUCGGGACAGUUCCGACCCGCACGAAAGGCGUAACGAUCUGGGCGCUGUCUCGGAGAGAGGCUCGGCGAAAUAGAAUUGUCUGUGAAGAUGCGGACUACGUGCACCCGGACAGAAAGACCCUAUGAAGCUUUACUGUAGCUUGGUAUUGUGCCCGGGCUCUGAAUGCGCAGGAUAGGUGGGAGGCUCUGAUCAUCGGCUUGCGGGUCGAUGUGAGCCAACGGUGAGAUACCACUCUUUCAGAGCUAGGGUUCUAACAGUCACCCGUUAUCCGGGGACUGGACAGUAUCAGGUGGGCAGUUUGACUGGGGCGGUCGCCUCCUAAAGGUAACGGAGGCGCGCAAAGGUCUGCUCAGGCUGGUUGGAAAUCAGCCGACGAGUGUAAAAGCAGAAGCAGGCUUGACUGUGAGACCUACAAGUCGAACAGGGAGGAAACUCGGCUUUAGUGAUCCGACGGUUCUGCGUGGAAGGGCCGUCGCUCAACGGAUAAAAGUUACUCUAGGAUAACAGGCUGAUCUCCCCCAAGAGUUCACAUCGACGGGGAGGUUUGGCACCUUGAUGUCGGCUCAUCGCAACCUGGGGCUGAAGUCGGUCCCAAGGGUUGGGCUGUUCGCCCAUUAAAGCGGUACGCGAGCUGGGUUCAGAACGUCGUGAGACAGUUCGGUCCAUAUCCGGUGCAUGCGCAGGAAUAUUGAGAGGAGUUCUCCCUAGUACGAGAGGACCGGGAGGAACGCACCUCUGGUGUACCAGUUAUCGUGCCAACGGUAAACGCUGGGUAGCCAUGUGCGGAGAGGAUAACCGCUGAAAGCAUCUAAGUGGGAAGCCCACCUCAAGAUGAGUAUUCCCAUGGCGUUAGCCAGUAAGGUCACGGGAAGAACACCCGUUGAUAGGCUCUAUGUGGAAGCGCAGUAAUGCGUGAAGCAGAGGAGUACUAAUAGACCGAGGGCUUGACC
This 1348-nucleotide ribosomal RNA is filed under the name metagenome. RNAcentral's name for it is "bacterial LSU rRNA". It matches the Rfam family "Bacterial large subunit ribosomal RNA", at positions 1564 to 2925 of the family's 2925-position model. The record is from RNAcentral.